This is a long non-coding RNA of Salvia splendens (bonfire salvia), 766 nucleotides long. RefSeq lists it as uncharacterized. Lineage: Eukaryota; Viridiplantae; Streptophyta; Magnoliopsida; Lamiales; Lamiaceae. The transcript is spliced from 2 exons. The record is from RefSeq and is a predicted model, not a curated record.
CGAAAGAGCCCAACUCUUUACCACCCUCUCCCCAAGCCUUUCCUUCCUCUCUCUCUAACUCUGUCCCUCUUCUCUAUCUUUCGGCCAAAUUGAGAAAUUCUCAAUCCCGUCGCCUUCACCAACAAUCCGGUUCUGAUUCUCCCAAUUUGCGGCCUUAAAUUCAUCUGAGAUUGCUUGGAUUUCGAUUGGAGUGGAGCUGGAGGAACUCACCGCCGGGAUUGCUGCUGCUCGUCCCCUUCUCGCCGUCGCUGCGAAGUCCAGCCGCCAUAGUCUUCGGCUGGCUGUCAACACCGUUCAUCCGAGCAGCCAUGUCUCCUUCGCCGUCAGACGCCGUCAGACGCGACACCGCCGCUGUGGAGUCACCACUGCUCUGAUGUCGCUGUUGUGCACUAACACCGCGCGCAGCAGUAGUUCGUCGCCCCGAUGGCUGCUGUUCGGCAGCCCGUGCACUCCCAGGUUGUCGCCGCAGGGAGCCGCUGCUCCGUCGGUGGAGUUGCUGCCCCAAAACCAAUCCGAACAGCCACCGCGCAGCCCCAAAACGUCCCGAACCGAACAACCCCGAAGCAGCCCCACAAGAAUUAAUUGUGGAAGAUGGAGAGGGGAAGAGUUGAAAGAUGGAGAGUCUCCAUGGUGGAAGAAAUAGGCCAAGAGGAAAAAAAGUGUUGGGCUUGCUCCCACACAUUAUUUAUUCAUAGGCCAAAAAUGAUUUAUUUUGUUGUAAAUAAAUCAAGCCCAAAUUUUAUUUAUUUGCCAUAUAGUUCUUCUA